Molecule: ribosomal RNA, 1137 nt
Filed under: Staphylococcus aureus
Lineage: Bacteria; Bacillati; Bacillota; Bacilli; Caryophanales; Staphylococcaceae
Description: partial 23S ribosomal RNA
Rfam family: Bacterial large subunit ribosomal RNA
Source: RNAcentral
AUUAGACGAAUCAUCUGGAAAGAUGAAUCAAAGAAGGUAAUAAUCCUGUAGUCGAAAAUGUUGUCUCUCUUGAGUGGAUCCUGAGUACGACGGAGCACGUGAAAUUCCGUCGGAAUCUGGGAGGACCAUCUCCUAAGGCUAAAUACUCUCUAGUGACCGAUAGUGAACCAGUACCGUGAGGGAAAGGUGAAAAGCACCCCGGAAGGGGAGUGAAAUAGAACCUGAAACCGUGUGCUUACAAGUAGUCAGAGCCCGUUAAUGGGUGAUGGCGUGCCUUUUGUAGAAUGAACCGGCGAGUUACGAUUUGAUGCAAGGUUAAGCAGUAAAUGUGGAGCCGUAGCGAAAGCGAGUCUGAAUAGGGCGUUUAGUAUUUGGUCGUAGACCCGAAACCAGGUGAUCUACCCUUGGUCAGGUUGAAGUUCAGGUAACACUGAAUGGAGGACCGAACCGACUUACGUUGAAAAGUGAGCGGAUGAACUGAGGGUAGCGGAGAAAUUCCAAUCGAACCUGGAGAUAGCUGGUUCUCUCCGAAAUAGCUUUAGGGCUAGCCUCAAGUGAUGAUUAUUGGAGGUAGAGCACUGUUUGGACGAGGGGCCCCUCUCGGGUUACCGAAUUCAGACAAACUCCGAAUGCCAAUUAAUUUAACUUGGGAGUCAGAACAUGGGUGAUAAGGUCCGUGUUCGAAAGGGAAACAGCCCAGACCACCAGCUAAGGUCCCAAAAUAUAUGUUAAGUGGAAAAGGAUGUGGCGUUGCCCAGACAACUAGGAUGUUGGCUUAGAAGCAGCCAUCAUUUAAAGAGUGCGUAAUAGCUCACUAGUCGAGUGACACUGCGCCGAAAAUGUACCGGGGCUAAACAUAUUACCGAAGCUGUGGAUUGUCCUUUGGACAAUGGUAGGAGAGCGUUCUAAGGGCGUUGAAGCAUGAUCGUAAGGACAUGUGGAGCGCUUAGAAGUGAGAAUGCCGGUGUGAGUAGCGAAAGACGGGUGAGAAUCCCGUCCACCGAUUGACUAAGGUUUCCAGAGGAAGGCUCGUCCGCUCUGGGUUAGUCGGGUCCUAAGCUGAGGCCGACAGGCGUAGGCGAUGGAUAACAGGUUGAUAUUCCUGUACCACCUAUAAUCGUUUUAAUCGAUGGGGGG